GCGGCGGCGGCGGGGAGGCCGAGACGCCCCCCACCGGGAACUUCUCGCAGACUUUCGGGGCUUUCGGGACACAGACCGGCCAGGGCACCCGGACCGGCGGCCUCGGCCCCGCGUGUUCUAGUAAGAGCCGGGAGGGCCCUGGGGGCAUCUCAGUUGAUCCCUUUACAGCAAGUACAGGAUUGCACAGCUGGGGCCAAGGAAUGCCCAGUACUGCCAGGACCACUGGAUGGCAGAAGACUUCACCUAGCCUCUGGCGGUGCGUUGAAACAGAAUUUGAUCCAGAAAUUGCCUCCUUUUAGGCAAUGGACACUUUACUGAAAAAUUGCGUUUCUGGAAAUGUGCUAGGUUCAACGGGCCAGGGUGGCAUCACUUAAAGAGUGUCUGAUGGGCACCACCUACAGGCUAUUGGAGAAGAGCAUGCACCUGAAGCCCAGCUUCACCACUACUGAGAUGCAACCUCAGGUAAAAAAAAGAAAGAAAAAAGAAAAAGUGGC
RNAcentral lists this long non-coding RNA (494 nucleotides) under Equus asinus (donkey). Its description in RNAcentral is "lncRNA (ENSEASG00005029594.1)". The record is from RNAcentral. Lineage: Eukaryota; Metazoa; Chordata; Mammalia; Perissodactyla; Equidae.